This is a non-coding RNA of Podarcis muralis (Common wall lizard), 1093 nucleotides long. Lineage: Eukaryota; Metazoa; Chordata; Lepidosauria; Squamata; Lacertidae. The record is from RefSeq and is a predicted model, not a curated record.
GGCCAAGACCAGCUGAGCAGCAACACCUAAAAGAGCCAGUUGUGCUAAAAUCCUGGCUCGACCUGCAGUGGUUUCAGCCCCCCCCAAAAAAGGAUAUCUUUGGGAGAAGAAAAGGCCAAGGGGUUCCCAGACUGUGGUCAGGUGACCACCAGUAUCCUGUGAACUUCAUUCAGAAAACAGAGAGUGAUGUAAGCAGCAGACCCGAAGCAAAGUUAGGCAACGGACUGCUAUUGUGGCUUUCCCUUAUACGGAGAUUUUACUAUGAAACGGUACACCAUGGAAGAGAAGUACAAAAUCAUGCGCUAAGGGACUGCUAGGGUAUUCAACCGAGGAUCUAGAAGGCAGAGAAAACCUUAAGAGUCAUGCAUUAUGCUUAAAACUGAAUCUAUUCCAAGGCUUUAUUUCAAAGAGAUCCAAGAUUCCGGAACAGGAGGUCAUGCAGGUUCAGUUCUUUGUAUACAGUAUGCCCAGCAAAACAUGUUGAAUCUUUUGAGAAUAUUCUGAGGUUUAGUAUUUCAUUUCCUGGGCGGAAUACAAGAAAAGCAGUCUGCUAGAUUACUUUCACAAAGCUGAUAUUGGCUGGCAAAAGGAAAGCUAAUUUUAAAGCAGAUAGUGGUGAAAAUAACAAAUCUGUGCAACUGCCUCAGAAAUUGCCUAAAUGAAAUUUUAUUCUGUUUUAACCAGCUCUCCCCCCCUUGUCUCCACACCCAUCGUUCUUGUUUUUGUAUACAUUCUUCUUUCGCUGGGACUACUUCUUCUUCUUCUUCUUCUUCUUCUUCUUCUUCUUCUUCUUCUUCUUCUUCUUCUUCUUUCCAUUUUUGGGCAAGAAACAUUCUUGCUGCUGUUGAUGCACCUAGACGGUUGGGGGAAACCGCCAGGGGUAAAAAAAUGACCAAAGACGUGGAAUAUAUAUGAAAUUAGAUAAUAUUAAUGAAAGAAUCAAUGUUUAAAUGUUCAAAAACGAUAAUAUGUUUGCUUAUAGAGUAAAUGGAUAAUAAGUGAUUUAAACAUAAAAUGCAAUUGAAAGUACAAAAGAAACACAGGAAACAAGGUUAUAAUUUGCUGAUAAAUUUAUUAUCAAGAUUGCACUGUG